UACAGAGGGGGCGAGCGUUGUUCGGAAUUACUGGGCGUAAAGGGCGCGUAGGCGGCCUUCUAAGUCGAACGUGAAAUCCCCGGGCUCAACCCGGGAACUGCGUCCGAUACUGGGAGGCUUGAAUCCGGGAGAGGGAUGUGGAAUUCCAGGUGUAGCGGUGAAAUGCGUAGAUAUCUGGAGGAACACCGGUGGCGAAGGCAGCAUCCUGGACCGGUAUUGACGCUGAGGCGCGAAAGCUAGGGGAGCAAACGGG
RNAcentral lists this ribosomal RNA (253 nucleotides) under uncultured bacterium. RNAcentral describes it as "partial 16S ribosomal RNA". It matches the Rfam family "Bacterial small subunit ribosomal RNA", at positions 524 to 776 of the family's 1533-position model. The record is from RNAcentral.